Molecule: ribosomal RNA, 253 nt
Filed under: uncultured bacterium
Lineage: Bacteria
Description: partial 16S ribosomal RNA
Rfam family: Bacterial small subunit ribosomal RNA
Source: RNAcentral
UACGGAGAGUGCAAGCAUUAAUCGGAAUUAUUGGGCGUAAAGGGCGCGUAGGCGGGGCGACAAGUCAGAUGUGAAAUUCCAGAGCUCAACUCUGGAGCUGCAUUUGAAACUGUCAUUCUAGAGGGUUGACGGAGAAAACGGAAUUCCACGUGUAGCGGUGAAAUGCGUAGAUAUGUGGAAGAACACCAGUGGCGAAAGCGGUUUUCUAGUUAAUACCUGACGCUGAGGCGCGAGAGCAAGGGGAGCAAACAGG